This 503-nucleotide ribosomal RNA is filed under the name uncultured Acidobacteriaceae bacterium. RNAcentral's name for it is "bacterial SSU rRNA". It matches the Rfam family "Bacterial small subunit ribosomal RNA", at positions 8 to 489 of the family's 1533-position model. Lineage: Bacteria; Pseudomonadati; Acidobacteriota; Terriglobia; Terriglobales; Acidobacteriaceae. The record is from RNAcentral.
AGAGUUUGAUCAUGGCUCAGAAUCAACGCUGGCGGCGUGCCUAACACAUGCAAGUCGAACGCGAAAGCCCUUUCGGGGGUAAGUAGAGUGGCGUCCGGGUGAGUAACACGUAGGUAAUCUACCUUCGGGUGGGGAAUAACUCGCCGAAAGGCGAGCUAAUACCGCAUAAUGCAGCGGCACCUAAUGGUGAUUAGUUGUUAAAGCGGGGGAUCGCAAGACCUCGCGCCUGAAGAGGAGCCUGCGGCAGAUUAGCUAGUUGGUGAGGUAAUGGCUCACCAAGGCUUCGAUCUGUAGCUGGUCUGAGAGGACGGCCAGCCACACUGGCACUGACACACGGGCCAGACUCCUACGGGAGGCAGCAGUGGGGAAUUUUGGGCAAUGGGCGCAAGCCUGACCCAGCAACGCCGCGUGAGGGAGGAAAUCCUUCGGGAUGUAAACCUCACAAGCAAGGGAAGAGAGCUCAGGGCCGAAUAAGUCCUGAGUCCGACGGUACCUGCGAAGUC